UCGGAUUGUAGUCUGCAACCCGACUACAUGAAGCUGGAAUCGCUAGUAAUCGCGGAUCAGAAUGCCGCGGUGAAUACGUUCCCGGGUCUUGUACACACCGCCCGUCACACCAUGGGAGUCGGAAAUGCCCGAAGUCUGUGACCCAACCAUUAAGGAGGGAGCAGCCGAAGGCAGGUCGGAUGACUGGGGUGAAGUCGUAACAAGGUAAC
RNAcentral lists this ribosomal RNA (209 nucleotides) under uncultured bacterium. Its description in RNAcentral is "partial 16S ribosomal RNA". It matches the Rfam family "Bacterial small subunit ribosomal RNA", at positions 1293 to 1500 of the family's 1533-position model. The record is from RNAcentral.